CCAGAUGGCUGGGCGGUCGCGCCUGUUUGCGCAGGCGAGGAAAGUCCGGGCUCCACGACGACAUGGCGGUGGGUAACGCCCACCGGGGGUGACCCUAGGGAUAGCGCCACAGAGAGCAGACCGCCCUGCUUCGCCAAGGCUACGCAGGGCUCGCCCUUCGGAGCUUCAGCGCAGAAGGGUAAGGGUGAAAGGGUGCGGUAAGAGCGCACCGCGGACCCAGCAAUGGGGACGGCAUGGCAAGCCCCGCCAGGAGCAAGACCGAAUAGGGGUGUCGCGCCGGUUCGCCGGUAGGGCUGUCGUAGGCCCG
Molecule: RNase P RNA, 307 nt
Filed under: Phenylobacterium sp.
Lineage: Bacteria; Pseudomonadati; Pseudomonadota; Alphaproteobacteria; Caulobacterales; Caulobacteraceae
Description: partial RNase P RNA component class A
Rfam family: Bacterial RNase P class A
About the family: Ribonuclease P (RNase P) is a ubiquitous endoribonuclease, found in archaea, bacteria and eukarya as well as chloroplasts and mitochondria.
Source: RNAcentral